UUCUCUUGCAUCUCUUUCAAGAAUAAUAACUACAACAACAACAACUACCCAGUUAUCCCACCAGGUGGGGUAUGGGGAGGGUAAUAUGUAGACGAGCCUUACCCUGCCCGUAAGGACAGAGAGGCUGUUUCCAAACGACCCUCAAGAAUAAUAACUACAAUAUAUAAUUUUAUUCAGCUGGGUUGUCAGUCCUAUAUGAUCGACCUAUUGUGCCUCAAUCGUCUUAAUCAGUAAGCUCUCUUCUCCAGUCCAGUUUCUUACGUGUCAAGUUGUUUCUGAGUGUCUGGAUAUGGGUUCUGUUUCUCUUUUUUCCUCGUUUCCGCUUCACCCUUCGCCACAAUGCUUCUUCCUUUUUUUCUUCUUUCUUUAGUCGUGGGCCAAAGAGAUUGUUUUCUUUAUGAUAUUUUAAAUUGAUCCAAUAUAUCAAACAUUAUCCUCCUGAUUAGGCGUUUUCAAUCAAUAUCUACUUAUCCGUGCCCCACAAAUAGUUAGUAGUGUAACUCUGUAAUUAAAAUUUUCCACUUCGAUAAACUGAAAAAUAUGCCAUUUAUAAUGAUUCUACUUUAUCCUCGUAGUAUUCCCUCAUGUUGUACCAUGUCUGUAUGUAAAUUGUUGAAGUAAAUGCUGAAUUUCUUAUGAUGCUUCUGUAAUGGUAAAUAGGCAAACAGUUGUUUAGUUACUUAGGUAUGGGCAAAUUACAUAAUAACAUGAGAAAUUUUACUGACUGAUUCAUGAUUUUAUGUGAAUAAAAAUGGCUUCCAUAAUGCAUGUUGGGGUGAAGUGUAUGAAAGAAGAUAUUAGAUUGUUAGAGUAGGAAAUAUUAUGGGAAUAACGUUGAAUGCUUCUUAUUAAUCCUAUACAAAUGAUGGAUUACAUAGCUAUUUAUAGACUUGUUGGAUAGUUCUAGAUUUUUCCACAUACAUGAG
This 926-nucleotide long non-coding RNA is filed under the name Nicotiana benthamiana. RNAcentral describes it as "long non-coding RNA (NBEN_LNC008116)". The record is from RNAcentral. Lineage: Eukaryota; Viridiplantae; Streptophyta; Magnoliopsida; Solanales; Solanaceae.